RNAcentral lists this ribosomal RNA (440 nucleotides) under uncultured bacterium. RNAcentral's name for it is "partial 16S ribosomal RNA". It matches the Rfam family "Bacterial small subunit ribosomal RNA", at positions 339 to 795 of the family's 1533-position model. The record is from RNAcentral.
CUACGGGGGGCACCAGUGAGGAAUAUUGCACAAUGGGGGGAACCCUGAUGCAGCAACGCCGCGUGGAGGAUGACGCAUUUCGGUGUGUAAACUCCUUUUAUAUGUCAAGAAAAUGACGGUAGCAUAUGAAUAAGCGCCGGCUAACUCCGUGCCAGCAGGCCGCGGUAAUACGGAGGGCGCAAGCGUUACUCGGAAUCACUGGGCGUAAAGGACGCGUAGGCGGGUUGAAAAGUCAGGUGUGAAAGCCUACAGCUUAACUGUAGAACUGCACUUGAAACUCUCAAUCUAGAGUAUGGGAGGGGCAGAUGGAAUUAGUGGUGUAGGGGUAAAAUCCGUAGAUAUCACUAGGAAUACCUAAAGCGAAGGCGAUCUGCUGGAACAUUACUGACGCUAAGGCGUGAAAGCGUGGGGAGCAAACAGGAUUAGAUACCCCUGUAGUC